GACUACGUGGCGCAUUGGUAGCGCGUCUGACUCCAGAUCAGAAGGUUGCGUGUUCAAAUCACGUCGGGGUCA
Nematostella vectensis (starlet sea anemone) is the source of this 72-nucleotide non-coding RNA. Lineage: Eukaryota; Metazoa; Cnidaria; Anthozoa; Actiniaria; Edwardsiidae. The record is from Rfam.